Molecule: ribosomal RNA, 463 nt
Filed under: uncultured bacterium
Lineage: Bacteria
Description: partial 16S ribosomal RNA
Rfam family: Bacterial small subunit ribosomal RNA
Source: RNAcentral
GAUGAACGCUGACAGAAUGCUUAACACAUGCAAGUCGAUGGGGAAGUGGUGCUUGCACCAUGGUAACCAUGGCGGACGGGUGAGUAACGCGUAAGGAACUUACCUGCGGGACCGGGAUAACAGCAGGAAACUGCUGACAAGACCGGAUAAGGUCAUUAAGCUGCAUAGCUUAGUGAUGAAAGGAGACGCCUGCGGAGAGCCUUGCGUCCUAUUAGCUAGUUGGAGGGGUAACGGCCCACCAAGGCGAAGAUAGGUAGCCGGCCUGAGAGGGUGGACGGCCACAAGGGGACUGAGAUACGGCUCUUACUCCUACGGGAGGCAGCAGUGGGGAAUAUUGGACAAUGGGGGCAACCCUGAUCCAGCAAUUCUGUGUGCACGAAGACGGUUUUCGGAGUGUAAAGUGCUUUCAGCAGGGAAGAAGGAAGUGACGGUACCUGCAGAAGAAGCGACGGCUAAAUACGUG